Molecule: ribosomal RNA, 494 nt
Filed under: Microbacterium sp. KS11N1
Lineage: Bacteria; Bacillati; Actinomycetota; Actinomycetes; Micrococcales; Microbacteriaceae
Description: bacterial SSU rRNA
Rfam family: Bacterial small subunit ribosomal RNA
Source: RNAcentral
UGGCGAAGGGUGAGUACACGUGAGCAACCUGCCCUGGACUCUGGGACAGCAUAUGGAAACGGUGUCUAAUACUGGAUAUGAGCUUUCACCGUAUGGUGGGGGUUGGAAAGAUUUUUCGGUCUGGGAUGGGCUCGCGGCCUAUCAGCUUGUUGGUGAGGUAAUGGUUCACCAAGGCGUCGACGGGUAGCCGGCCUGAGAGGGUGACCGGCCACACUGGGACUGAGACACGGCCCACACUCCUACGGGAGGCAGCAGUGGGGAAUAUUGCACAAUGGGCGGAAGCCUGAUGCAGCAACGCCGCGUGAGGGAUGACGGCCUUCGGGUUGUAAACCUCUUUUAGCAGGGAAGAAGCGUAAGUGACGGUACCUGCAGAAAAAGCGCCGGCUAACUACGUGCCAACAGCCGCGGUAAUACGUAGGGCGCAAGCGUUAUCCGGAAUUAUUGGGCGUAAAGAGCUCGUAGGCGGUUUGUCGCGUCUGCUGUGAAAUCCCGAG